Molecule: RNA transcript, 11966 nt
Organism: Orcinus orca (killer whale)
Lineage: Eukaryota; Metazoa; Chordata; Mammalia; Artiodactyla; Delphinidae
Gene: CRADD
Gene name: CASP2 and RIPK1 domain containing adaptor with death domain
Exons: 9
Source: RefSeq, a predicted model, not a curated record
UUGCCCUUAACAAAAAUGGCGACAAAACUUCCUGUUCGGGGCUUUUGCCUUCAACAAAAAUGGUGCUUACGGUACAGGUUCCCUGACACUUUGGAGUCCGGUUGCAGUUUUUUUUUUUUUUUUCCUUAAGAUACGUGUUUGCAGACGGGGAGAUGGAGGCUAGAGACAAGCAAGUGCUUCGCUCCCUUCGCCUCGAGCUGGGUGCAGAGGUCCUGGUGGAGGGACUGGUCCUCCAGUAUCUUUACCAGGAAGGGGUCUUGACAGAAAGCCAUGUUCAAGAAAUUAAAGCUCAAGCCACAGGCCUCCGGAAAACAAUGCUGCUGCUGGAUAUCCUACCUACCAGGGGUCCUAAAGCAUUCGAUGCCUUCCUAGAUUCCCUGCAAGAAUUCCCCUGGGUAAGGGAGAAACUGGAGAAGGCAAGAGAAGAAGCCAUGGUUGAGCUGCCUGCAGAUGACCGGUUGGCUGGAAUCCCCCCCCACAUCCUCCACAGCUCCCCUUCCGACCAGCAGAUCAACCAGCUGGCCCAGAGGCUGGGCCCCGAGUGGGAGCCCGUGGUGCUGUCUCUGGGGCUGUCCCAGGUUGACAUCUACCGCUGUAAGGCCAACCAUCCCCACAAUGUUCAGUCCCAGAUGGUGGAGGCCUUGGUUCGCUGGAGGCAGCGCUUCGGGAAGCAGGCCACCUUCCAGAGCCUGCUCAGGGGUCUCCAGGCCGUGGACGUGGACCCCUCGGUGCUCCAGCACAUGUUGGGAUGAUGGCGCCCCGUCAGCACCUGGGGAGUCCAUCCCCUAGUCUCGUGUGCCGAAUCCUGACUCUCACCCAGUGCAGCAAGAUGCCUUCUCCACUGUGGCAUGUGAUCCACUCAGCGCAGUGUUCUCUUCCUACAAUUUUACAUUCUGUCUCUAGCCAGUGCUAUUUCGGGUGUCGGAUUACACUGUUGAUGGAGAAUAUUUGUGGAAAAUAUCUGCUCUGCCAAGAUGUUUGUAUCCCCAUUGCCGCCAGAAUUCAUAUGUUGAAAUCUUAACCCCCAAAGGUGAGGGAAUUAGGAGAUGAGGCCUUUGGGAGGGAUGAGGUCAUAAGAUGGCGCCCUCAUGGAAGUGGCCCCACAGAGCCUCUUGCAGCCCGUGAGGACACAGUGAGAAGGCUCCAGCUAUGAACGAGGAGAGGACCUUCACCAGAACGCGACCAUGUUGGCUUCUUGAUCUUGCAUUUCCCAGCCUCCAGAACUAUGAGCUGUAAGUUCUUGUUGUUUAUAAGCUACCCAGUCUGUAGUGUUUUGUGAUAGCAGCCCUAACAGACAAUAUCAAAUGGGCUGGAUUAGGUCAUAUAACCUCCCUCUUGUCAGCUUCUAGGAGAUGAAUUGACUUAAUCAGACUUAGCCGAUACCAUGGUCCUUGGCAUGACUUAAUGGCUCAUUGUGGAUUCUGGGAGAAGACCGAGUGCCUACAAAUGAAGUAAGUAAGCCUACUCGUAGACUGGUGGUGGACUUGGUGCUCCUGGCCAUGUCAAAGCCAAGGAUGAGGGGGCUCUGCCUAGGGAAUAUUUCUUUGAAGGACCAGAAUGUCUGUAAUAGGUAGUGGUUCUUAUCCAUUCAGGGGGCAGGGAUCCCUUUAAGAAUGUGAGAAGACCGUGGAGUCAUUCUUUAGAAAAGUGCACACGCAUGCACGUGCGCACAAACACACACACCCCAUUUGGCAUAUAAUUUUUAGGGGAUUCCCAGUACACCUGAAUCCAAGUUGCUCACCCCAAGAACCCUAAGCCUGUAGGUUAUAAAGGGGCACCAGACCUCACUAGCAUCUAAGCCUGACUGAUCAGUUUUUGGCUUUGUACGGUAUUUGGAGGGCUUGUGUCCAACAGAAUGGCGCUAAGUGUUUCUGUGGGGUUGCACAAGAAUGUAAACUCUGUUAUGAAGGACUAACCAAGGUAUUGGAAUAAAGUUGAAGCCAUUUAUCUAAACCGUGAUCUUUAUACAGCUGACCACAGAUCUUCCGCCCUAUAGGAGGGCAGGCUGGUGGACCUCUUGGACCCGCCUCUCGGAAAGGUGUCGUUCCCAGGAGCACUCUCUAAUCACCUUCCUGCCCACCCAGCUCCAGCUUAGAAUCAGCUUCCAGGCGCACGCAUCCUGUGACGUGGAGGUGGUGAGCAGUGGUCAGGUUCUGAUUACAUUGUGAAGGUUUUCAAUAUUUGUUGAAAGAGUGAAUCAACAGAUACUGGGCCACAGUGUUCCUACACUCCAGGUCCAGAUCCUCAGCUGUUCCCAGGGGCAGCAGCAGAUGCUGAAACAGAACUUCCCUAGCCCUAGCCAGGGGGUCCGGCUACAGUUCUCAGCACAGGAAGAGCUCUUCCAGAACAGGUUAUACAUUAAAAUAACUGAAGACACACAUUCAAGAAAUAGAAACACAAGAGGGAACUUUGAAUCAUUUAUUGCUGCCUAUUCUUUGCAGAGAGAUAAGAAAACUGAGGCCCAAGGUUUCUGUGACUUGCCUGGCAUCACACAGCUCAAAUGGAGACCAAAUUCUGCGAUUCUGUCUGUCUCUUUCUGGCAUCACCCUGAAAAGGCCCCCUUCUCCUUUCCUGUAUACCAGUGGAUCUCAACCAACGGCAACUUUACCUCUCAGGGGACGUUUGGAAAUGUCUGGAGGUAUUUUUGGUUGACACAACUGGCAGAGGAGGGCACAGGUACAGGUGCUACUGGCAUCCAGUAGGCGGAAGCCAAGGAUGCUGCUAUACAUCCGACGGUGCACAGACUGCUCCCACAGAGAAGUAUCUGGCCCUAAAGGUUAAUAGUGCAGAGGCAGAAAAGCCAAGGUCGGGACUGCGCCCCACAUCAGAUGGAAGUUCCAACCUCUGGGAGUUGCCAGGGCUCCUCUGCCCAGCGACAGGCUUGGCCUCUCUCCCGAGGCUGCCACAAGAGCUGAAGCCACUGUCUAGAAUGCCCUUUGGCAGCGGGCAAGUGUCCCCUGUGGAGUUUCCUGCGGGACAGGCAGUGCAUCAGCUGGAGCUGCUGUGUGUUAUAAUUUAUAGUCGCAGGACGCCUGUCUUCAUUUAGCAGCAAGCUCGCUGGCAGCUGCCCUGCCAGGGAGGAAGUGAGUCCCGCAGAGGCCCGCAGCACCCCCCACAGCUGACAGCCCGUGGUAUUUGGGGACGGCUGUUGCUCGGAGGCACCUGGGAAUAGGCCAGGGUGGAGAUGGCGCUGAGCACGUGGUCUCCCCUUCCGACCCAUCCGUCAGCAGCGGCCCCUGCCAGAAGAUGGCCUAUUGAACAUUUCCAGGAAUAGCACUGCCAAGCCUGUCAACUGCUUUCUUGGAAAUACACUCAAUAAGGAUGGCGGGCCUCCAGCAGGGAGAGCAGAAAGCCCGGCCUGGACCACGCCACUCAGAAACGGCAGGGCCUGGCUGCAGGCCCUGGCAGUGCCUUGGGGAAGAGGAGCUGUAGCUUCUGGAGUCGUUUAAAAACGUUCUCGGCGUGGAGGGGAGAUGACCACACCUUUCAGGAGGUCGGGCCCUGCUGACCUCAUGCAACCCCGUGACCUUUAAAUGCCUGCUGUGUUUGUUCAGCCACCAGCGGACUGGAAGGCUAUCCGGCUUGGAGGCCAGGUAUUAACUAGGUAUUAACUGUCAGCAGUGAUUGACCUCAGUGUCAUCUGGGGAGCCUUGGCCAUCACUCCUUGUGUUGUAAGCUUCACUCUCAAAUAGCGCCAAAGGAACAUAAGAAAGGGCGAGUAUUCCCCACUCCACCCCACCAACCCCACGCACACUGUGACUGUGGGGAUACAGCAAAUAAGAGGCAAAGAUGUGAUAACGAGAGAAAAAUCUUAUAAGCCACCCUUCCCCUCACCCCCUGCAGAAGUAACCUUCCCCCUCACAGAGGCCUGACAUUCCUGUUGAAAUUUGACCACUUGGAACUCUUUGCUCUCUGAGCUACGGCCUUCUCCAGCCUCUGGGGGGGUUGCCCAGGGGUUGCCAGGCUUGGGGAUGCCCUAAGAAGGCCAGCUGCCUUCAAAGAAAACUCCUUAAAGAUGUAGGCAUUAUAAAAAAGCAAGAAAUCAAAAACCGCUAUGUGGAGGGUUCAGGGAAUAUUGGUUCCUCACCUUUUAAAAAUAAUAAUAGCGUUAUGAAGUUUACCACAGAGCAAGUAUGGGACAUCUAUUUCAUUUCUAAAAGCCACUGAUUCACAGGACAAACAUUAUUCGAGACCCACACUGACCUACAAUUAGUUGGUGGUAGGGCUGCCAAAUACACUAUCAGAUGCCCAAGUAAAUUUAAAGUUCAGAAAAACAACAAAUAAUCUUUUUGGUAUAAGUUUAUCUACAAGUCCAAUUUACCUGGGCACUGUGUUUUUAUUUGUUAAAUCUGGUCACUUCUAUUUGGGGGGAUAAAUUGUCCUAGUUGUUAAUAACAGGGAACAGCAAUACAGAUUCAACACAUAUGAAAGAUCAUAGCUGUUAGAGGAGGAAAGCAGGGAAGGAGGAGGGUAACAAGGAAGGGGAGAGGAAGAUCAAGAAGAAAGGGAGAUAGGCAUAGUGAAGGAGAAAGAAACUAAGUGAAAGAGAAACAGGAAGUACUGAGGAAGGAUGAAAACAGGAACAUCUCAGAAAGACCUAAAAUGCUGAGACAGUUCACAGGAUGCUGUUUCCCUGGGAAAUGCCGUUUCCUUAGCUAAACACUGUUCCUGUAUCUUUUGCUGCUCUUUGUUCUAUCUGGUAAAACCCACAGUGACCACUAGGGAGUAAUGAGUCCUCAAGCUAUGAUGGCAGCAUCUAGGCCAAUAUUACCCUGGAGGCAGGUUGAAACCAAACCUAAGACUAUAUCCAACCCUAAGACCUGUUCCCCCAUCCACUCACCCUACUCACCCGCACCCACGUUGCUGUCAUCAGAGGAUUGUGGAUUUUCAAGGAAUUGGCAUCUGAACAAUAUAACGGAGCUGGUUGUCAUGAUUCUAUGGAACUUUUUUGUUGUUGACGAUGAUUCGGAAAAUCAGUAGCUUCUUUUGCCUCGGGGUGAAAGUGGUGAUGAGCAGGGCGUGCAUGCAGACAGCAGAGAUUUCCUGAGUUGUUAAUCCCCUUGUUCUCUCACCUGCAGAUAGGAGGCCAGGUUGGCCUGACCCAAAGAGAGAAGCCUUAAUAGGCUUCUAGGGGGAUGAGAGAGGCAUGCCUCCUAGGGAAAAGCUGUCAUGGUGGUGGUGGUGGGAUGGAGGGGACCCUGCUUUGGAGCCCCCCCAUCCCACAUGUAUCCUGGGGAAUGGAAAUGGGGCUGCCCUCGGUUACCUGGGCUGCGCUAUUAGAUGUGUGAUACCAGAGCAAGGGAAUAGGUCUCCCCAUAAACUCCAGUGAGGAGCAGAAGAGACUGACCAGUGGCCCACCGUAUUGUGACUCUAUUCCAGACAGCUGCUCAGACUGUGGCCACACGGGAUGUUGUCAUUACAACAGUAGCUGACACCCGGCAAGCAUCUCCUCUGGGCCAGACAUGUGGGAGGUGCUUUAUAAACACUGUCCCAGCUGGCCUUCAACAACUGCCUGAUGUUGUAGGGAUACUAUUAUCUUUCAUAUUACUAUUUCCCUAAUUUAAGAGAUAGAGAAAUCACGACCGCAAAAAGUUAAGUUGCUGUUUCAAAGUCAACUGAUUAGUGAGUGUUCGGGCUGAGAUUUGCCUCCAGUCCGCCUAACUCCCAGCUCAGGAUUCAUCCCCGUCCCUCCCGUCAGACUGCAGAGGUCAAAUCCCAGCUCCAUUACUUACUAGCUGCAUGACCUUGGGUAAGUUAUUUAAUCUCUCUGUGCAACUCCUUCGUCAUCUAUAAAACGGGGGUAAAAAUAGUAUCCAGCCCAUGGAGUUGCUGUGAAAAUUUAAUGAGUUUGUGUCAAGCACUGAGAACCCAGUACUUUACUUCCCUUACUUCAUCCACUCCUCUAACAAUUCUCGAAGUAGUUAAUAUUAUUAUCCUUCUUUACAUGUGAGGAAACGGAGGCCCAGAGGGCUAAUUAGCUUGGUCAAGGUCAGUAAGUGGGACAGCUGAGAUUCAAACCCAGACAGACUGAUCCAUAGUCCAUACUUAUAGAUUCUGCCUCUGUACACUUUUAUGUGUUCAUUUCAUAGUUUCUGCCUUUUAGAACUGGGACGUUGUCAGAUGGCAUUUUUGUAUACUUACACCUGUGGACAAGGUCCAGGAUCUUCCUUAAAGCUACCAAAUACAUAUCCUUCAUAGUAGAAUUGCUCAGAAGAUUCAGCUUUUCUGAAUUUGCUCUCUAUCUCUGCUUGUUGAUAAUGACUCUAGUCGUCAGGCUAGGCUAGGCUACAGCGCAGUAACAAAUAAACCCUGAAAUCUCAAUGCUGUUAUCACAACAAAGGUUUAUUUCUCCCUCACAGAAAGCCUAAGGAACUUUCCUCUCUGCAUUGACCUUGUGGCUCCACACAGACAUGCAAGGUCACAGCCAAAUGAGACGGAAGAAGUGGAGGAGAUACUCCCAUUAACAUCCACGGUCUGGUCGUGCCUCUUCUACUCACAGUCCUUUGUGCAGGAUAGUAACAUGGCCUCAACCCCUGCAAGCGAGGAGGGGAGGGGAGCACAUGGAUUUUCCCUUCCCAGAGCUGUGGUGGUCUCUACCUCCAUGAAUAAACCCAGCUCCUAGCCUCAAGUUAAGAACAACUGCUAGCAACUUUAUUAACCAGGUUGUGAGAACCCCUUUCUUAUUAAUUAUAGUCAUGUAUUUACUUGAAUUGAAACCUCUUCAUUUGUUCAUUCAAUAAAUAUUUAUUGAAUGUUCCCUCUCUACCAGUAUUUUUAGGCCCCCAGGAAUAUAUCAGUAAAUGAAACAGAAUAAAGCCACUACUUUUGUAGAACUAGCAUUCCAGUGGGGAAUGGGAGAGGAUAGACACUUAACCCAAAAAAUAAGAAGGUGGUAUAAUAUAUUAGGUGUUGAUAUGUGCAAGGGAGAAAGAUAAAACACGGAAGAGGGGAUCAAGGUGUGAGUGUGUGUAUGUGUGCAUUGAGGGGAUGAUUUUAAAUAGGGGGGCUAGGGAAGGCCUUCCUGAGAAGGUAACAUUUGAGCAGACAUCCAAAGAAUGCAAGAGGGCUCUGGGGUGAAAGCAUUCUAAGAAGAGGAAGUAACUGGCGCAAAGGCCCUGAGGCAGGGGACUGCCUGACGUGUCAGAGGACGGCCCUGUGGCUGAGACGGUCGGAGAGCAGUAGAAGACGAGAUCAGAAAGGGGAUGGGGUGGGAGGUACUGACCCUUGAGGACCUUGUGCUUUUACUCCUGCUUAAAAACCUCCAUUUUCUCCUCCUUGUCCUAAGAACCUGGUCCUGGCUCCUCCCCCACCUCCCAACACACCCAGUGUUCUUCUCUCAGUCCCCCUGUGGCAGUGCCUCUCAGACUUGAGGGGCAUCAGGACCACCUGGGGGGAGUGUUAAAUCAGAUUUUCCAUAGUGGGGCCUGAGAAUCUGCCAUUCUGCUGCUGGUACAGGGACCACCCUUUGAGAAGCACAGCCCUAGUGUGACAAGCUCUCUCUUGCUUUUGGGCUUUUCUACUUAUUUCCUCAGGAAAUCUUGCCUGGAUUCCUGGACAGCACCAACUGCGUAAUUUGUGAGGUCCAAGGCAACAUGAAAAUACAGACCUCUUGUUCGAAAAGCAGGGAAAAAAGGUUCAGUUACAGGUAAAAUAUAAAGCUUUUCCUAUAUUAUUUAUAAUAAUUUUAUUUAUAAAAUGUGAUAAGUGUAGUGAUACAUGAGUAACAAUACAAAUGUUUUUUUUUUUAGAUGUUGGGGGUAGGAGUUUAUUAAUUAAUUUUUUUAUUUAUUUUUGCUGUGUUGGGUCUUCGUUUCUGUGUGAGGGCUUUCUCUAGUUGUGGCGAGCGGGGGCCACUCUUCAUAGUGGUGCGUGGGCCUCUCACUAUCGUGGCCUCUCUUGUUGCGGAGCACAGGCUCCAGACGCGCAGGCUCAGCGGCCAUGGCUCACGGGCCUAGUUGCUCCAUGGCAUGUGGGAUCUUCCCAGACCAGGGCUCGAACCCGUGUCCCCUGCAUUAGCAGGCAGACUCUCAACCACUGUGCCACCAGGGAAGCCCACAAAUGGUUUUUUAAUGGUAAAACAUAUUUUUGAUGUCAUAAUUUUAUAUAAUACAAUGAAUAAUACUGAUUAAUAUGAUACCGAGAUUCUUCUGGUUUGCUUUCCUACAUAUGCAUUCAUUAGGUCAUAAAAAUGUGUACUUUUAAUAACUUAAUUUUCAAUUUAUAUAAUUGAAAGCAAUGUCAUUUGCUGUUGGCAAAUGUAAAAUUACAAAUAUUUUUUGAUAACUUUAAUUUUGACAAUUAAAAUCUACUAAUGCAAUUGUUACCAGAGCAGAUAAGAGAGUUUUAUAGGCUAUGACAACAUUGGGAUACACAUUUGGUAAAUUAUUUUGAAAUAUAAGUUUCAGUACAUCUAGAGGUGAUGAUUCCCGUGGAACUAUUUUCUACAGAGUUAACGCUUUAUACAAAUCAGUUUCAUGUAAUUCUGAAUUUAAUAUGCAAAUUUAUAUUAUUUAUAAAUAAUUAAAUUAGUGCUAUAUACAUAUAGCAUUUAUAUUACCUAAUCAGUUAAUUAUAUGAUUUUUAUACACAAAUUUAAUGUUAGUUAGUAUUUUCUGACAGUUCCUGCAACUUGUGAAAAUCUAUAAGAAACCAAAGUGGCUUCAUGAUUUUUAUAUAAUUCAAAAUGCCUGAUAUGCAUUCUAUCACUGUAUCUUCAAAUAUAAGAAAAUUCAUUUACAUAUUGUCUUCCUUGUUAAUUGUUUAUCUGAAACAUUGUGUGAAGGCAGUGUUCUAUUCUAUUGAAUGGAACAAUCUUUACAUUUAAUUUCUAUUUCUGAGCCCAUGUAUGUUUGGUUUGCAAUGCUGUAACAGUUUUCAAAACCAGAAAUUCUAAAUUCUUUGAAGAAUUUUAAUAAGGCCCUGACAUGCUUUAUUGCAAUGUCAAUGUGUACACCCUUAAUUUGUAAUAAUUUACUGACAAGCUUUACCACCUGAGUGCCUGAGUGUCCUGGUGCUCAUAUUAGAGAGUUAAUAUUUGUGCAGAUGCCACAGGGACAGGCUCUGGGGAGAAACGGGUUAGCCAAUCUCCCACCAUGCGUCCCAGCACUGCCCCUGGAACCACUCCACUCUCCCACGGCUGCCACUGCUGCCACCACCACUGCAUCUGCUAUUGCUGCUGCCGCCAUCAACCAAUCUGGGUCCAGGUCCCAGGCAGGGCUGCCCUCGUUGCUCCAAGGGGCUCUGGACAGCCCCAGGUGUGCACAUGCUCACCAGAAGGCCAGGCCGGGUGCUUGGUGCUGCCCGCUGCCAUGCCUGUGUGCUCCAGCCCCCACGUGUGUGCACUAAUGCCUGGCACAGCAGCUCUGCUCACACACGUGCUCCAUUGUCCUUUCUGACUUCACAAGUUCAAAUAUAACAUAAUUAAGAAUUUCAAGACUCUGACAACAGAGCAUUAAACCAAGCACGUUGUCCCUUCUGAGUGGCCCUGCUUGCACACCCACAAAGUUGGUCCUGUUCCUGGGCUAAGUGUCUUACCCUAGUUUUGCCCAUAGAGCAUCUUAUAUUAUUCUCUAACAGUGUGUCAUCCUAAAUUAUUUAAUGUCUGUUUUCCCUGCUAGACAGGAUCAGCAAACUAUGACCCAUUGGCUGAAUCCUGCCUGCUGCUUGUUUUUGUAAUGAAGUUUUAUUGGAACAUAAAAACUCAUUUAUUUCGGUGUUGUCUGUGGCUGCUUUCAUAUUACAAGGAAGAGUUGAGUAAUGCAACAAGGAAUGUUUGGCCCAGGAAGCUUAAAACAUUUGCUGUCGGUCCUUUAUAGAAUUCUACACUAGACUGUAAGAUCCCUGAAGGCAGGAAUCAGGUCUGUCUAGAACAGUGCCAGGCAUAUAGAAAAUGCUCAGUCAAUACUUGUUGAAAAACAAAAGAAUUAAAAAAUGAAUACAUAGAGAGCCUAGUAUUUUUUGAAGUAAUUUAUCUUAAAGAAAACCAUGUACAUUUUGUUUGAUUUCAUUUUUUGUUUUCGUAUAAAAAUUGUGUCUAAAGUUACUUGCCACACCGUGAAAUUGACUCUCCAGGGAAAUGUAAGGUGUUUGUCUUGUAGUUGGCAUACCCUCCUGACAUGUUGCUAUACUCCUUAGUCUAAAGAAGCACAGGCAUUGAAAAUCCAUCAUUCCUCAUUAAAUAAUAUUUAUUGAGCAAGGCGUGGGGCUAAGCGUUACGACAGGAGUGAUAAUAAUUUGCACUUGUAUCUUACCCAAGAGAAUUUUACAGGCUAUCGACCAAAGGAGAAAAGACUUGCAAAUAAUAUAUUAUAUACACAAGCAACUAUGAUAAAUAGUGUUCAGUGCAGAAGGAAAUUUCUGGAUCAAGUGCUAUCAUCUUUCAGAGUCAGGACACGUUCCUUUUGACUGUGAAAUCAGAAGAAACUUCUCACCAGGCAUUCUUUUGGUCUCAGAUCCAAUCCCUGUUCUUUUUCUGCUUUGCUCUGCACCACAAGGAGCUAACUCCUGCAAACUUUAUUUCCCUGGCUCCCCUGCCAACUGAUUCCAGCUGAGUCCCUUCGGUGGGUGGCCACAGAGAAAGACCAGAUGACUGGAGGAAGGGGGAGGAACCAGGGUAUUUCUCCUCACUCUCUGAGCCUCAGUUUUCUCACCUAUACAAUGAAAAAACCAAUAGAGUAUUUUCACAGGGUUUCUAUGAGAAAUAAGACAAGGCAUGCAAAAUGCUUAGCAUGAUACCUUAUAUAUAAAAUAAACAUUCAAGGAGUAGAUCUAUUAUGGCUUUUAGCCUUGCUUAGGUAAGUGGAAAGAGUGCAGUGAUCAAUAAGUGAUGUCUGCCAAGAGUGAAGGGUUGGGGGGUAGUGCUAUGUGAGAGGAAUAUUUACCCAACCCUGAUCUCUUGGAGCUGUAUUGUGGAGAUAGAAUUGAGAGGACCUGGCAAAUGGAUUGACAGACUGGUAAGGUAUUGGGAGAAAUCGAAAAACUGGGAUAGUGAUACCAAAAGUAGACAUAGGCAAUGAAUAAGAAAAAGUAGGUUUGGGAGAGAGGAUUAUGAAUUCAUUUUUAGAUAAGGUGUUGUUGGGCUUUUUCCAAUUACCAAAAAACCAAAACCCCAAAACAAAAAAACAAAAAAAUGGUACACUUAAGAACACCACAAGAGAUGGGAGAUUUUGAUAGAAAUACACGUGUGCAGUGAGUUAGCAGAGAAAACCAUCUCAGCAGCUACACGCUCAGACCUAAUGGACAACUGGAAAACUAUGCGGGAGACCACAGCAAUUCCAGUUACUAUAGUCUUCUCUUAAGAGGAGAAACCAUUGUUCUUUGCUUACUGAGUCUUCCCUGCUCAGGACUCUCUCUGCUUCUGGUUCUGUCUCUAGAUUUCCUCUUCCUGCCUUUGUGCUGUGGUUAUAUUCUUUGCAUCCAGCAUUCAAGAUGAUCAGACUGCAUAUUUACCAUUUAGUGUGGGGCUUCCCAACUAGGAUGCAUUCUCAGCUCAGACCACCUCACAGUUUCCUUAGGUCUGGCCCAUAUUGGAUGUCUUUGGCUUGGAGUGGCAGCUGUGGCCAGCAUAGCAGUCACCUGACAAGGUGUGUCAAAGUCCACCCUCUCAGGAGCUGUGUAACUAGCUGUGAAACCAGUAGGUUUUAUGGUGUAUACAUGGUGAGUGAGCUGGAGAUGUCAUUGAGAUCUCCAUGGAGCUGAAAGUAAGAUUGGGUCAUGUUGAGAGAGCACUGAGGAGACUUAAUUACCUCUAAUGUUAUAUAUCCCAUGCAAAUUCAAUCAUACAAGAUCAAAAUCUGUCCAAGGUUCAGGGCAAAGAAGUCAGAAAUUAAAAAGAUGGUUCUUCCAAUGGAAUCCAGAAAGUUAGACAAUUUGCAGAGGAAGGGAUUUUCUUACUGUCGUUUAUAGGGACUUCACCAAUUUUUUUUCUUUUUUUUUUUUUUUUGGCCAUGCCGCAUGGCAUGUGGGAC